Molecule: unclassified non-coding RNA, 117 nt
Filed under: Yersinia enterocolitica (type O:5,27) str. YE149/02
Lineage: Bacteria; Pseudomonadati; Pseudomonadota; Gammaproteobacteria; Enterobacterales; Yersiniaceae
Source: RNAcentral
CACUGAGGCGACCUGAUUUCUGCAUCGCAAUGCGUAAACGUGUUUUAUCCAGCAUGGUAAUCCUCUUCUCUUUUAACUUUAUAAAAUGGUGAGCAACAAAAAAGCCCUCGGAAGAUA